Long non-coding RNA from Dermacentor andersoni, 609 nucleotides. RefSeq lists it as uncharacterized. The record is from RefSeq and is a predicted model, not a curated record. NCBI's taxonomy places the organism in Eukaryota, Metazoa, Arthropoda, Arachnida, Ixodida, Ixodidae.
AAGAAAGGCAGUAGCGGCCUACGACAUCGGUGUUUCUUUGUGACAGUGUGUUUACUAUGCCUACGACGGCCGUCAUUCGUGGCCAACGAGAAAACAUCUUCCAUUCGGCCUGACCAGUGAUGAAGUGGACUUUUUUUUUCGGCGGAAUCCAUCGUCAACAUCGUCCAUCCACUACGUAAACGAAAUGGCGUGCCCAGAAUAUACAUCGUGACAGCGCUCCGCCUUCAAACCGAGGGCCUUUUGCAAGGCGCAUGGACGGCUCAUAUAAAAGUUAGUCAGCAUGAAGCAAUUGCAUGGGAACCGGCCGAUUGUCUUGGGCCUACACAUUGCUCAAAAGACAGUGAAGGCGUCUGAGCCGACAGGUAGAAAACAAGCAGAUGACUACAGCGAUCAAUGAAGAAAUGGCUUCAUCUAUGAUGGCUUGCCUUAGGACAUUGGAAUGGAGCUACACAAAGGCAUCACCAGCCUCGCCUGUGCCCUGGAACAUUGGUUUGAAUAAGACUGUUCUUCAGUGUAGAACGACCACAAGACUUGUCACCACAUACAAGGCGUAGUGCAAGCUCUAAAUAUUGUACAGGUGGCUAGAAUAAAUGACCCUCCAUGCAGUCA